GUGGGGAAUAUUGGACAAUGGGCGCAAGCCUGAUCCAGCCAUGCCGCGUGAGUGAUGAAGGCCCUAGGGUUGUAAAGCUCUUUCAGUGGGGACGAUAAUGACGGUACCCACAGAAGAAGCCCCGGCUAACUUCGUGCCAGCAGCCGCGGUAAUACGAAGGGGGCUAGCGUUGUUCGGAUUUACUGGGCGUAAAGCGCACGUAGGCGGAUCGUUAAGUCGAGGGUGAAAUCCUGGAGCUCAACUCCAGAACUGCCUUCGAUACUGGCGAUCUUGAGUCCGGAAGAGGUGAGUGGAACUCCUAGUGUAGAGGUGGAAUUCGUAGAUAUUAGGAAGAACACCGGUGGCGAGGGCGGCUCACUGAUCCGGUGCUGACGCUGAGGUGCGAAAGCGUGGGGAGCAAACAGGAUUAGAAACCCGGGUAGUCC
Molecule: ribosomal RNA, 425 nt
Filed under: uncultured bacterium
Lineage: Bacteria
Description: partial 16S ribosomal RNA
Rfam family: Bacterial small subunit ribosomal RNA
Source: RNAcentral